Molecule: long non-coding RNA, 1761 nt
Filed under: Ananas comosus (pineapple)
Lineage: Eukaryota; Viridiplantae; Streptophyta; Magnoliopsida; Poales; Bromeliaceae
Description: long non-coding RNA (ACOM_LNC037236)
Source: RNAcentral
AUUAACUGUAUCACUUGGUGUGUUUGUUUGGGUGAAAGUGAGGGGGAAGUGGAGAUGGGGGAGGUUGUUUACACCGUAAAUUAUCACUUCCGUUGUUUGUUUUGCCGUAAUUUUAUUACGGCCGAAAGUCGAGUUCACCCAAAAUAGGGUAAUUGACUUCGCUCUCCCACGGGGCAAAGUCAAUUCCGAUGAAGUGCAAAGAGGCAAGGGAACUUGUUGAAUUUAGUUAGGUAAUGCGAUCAAAUUUGGUUAUGUAAAUUUUAAUAUAUUUUUUGUAUAAUUUGUAAAUUUAGAAAAUGAUGAAAAAUGAAUUUGUUAAAUGUUAAUAAUUUUUUAACUUUAGAAUUUUAUUUGUUGCAUUAUUAUAAUUUAUAUGCAAACAAAUAAUGUAAUUUUUUAAAAUUUUAUUUUAUAAUUAUACAUAUAUAUAAUUAUAUUAAUUUUUAUUUAUUAUAAUUUAUUAUUGACUAAGUUACAAAAUAGACAAUGAUAUCACUUCGGAGGUAAGUAUACCAGGGGUGGAGAACUAUAUUUUUUACGUCAUCUACUUCCUACCAAACAAACAACAGAACUUGCAGAACUGCACUUCCACAGUUAGAAACAAACAGCGGAAGUAAAUUAAUUUUCACUCCAACUCCACUUCAAUCUAAAGUCCACUUCCACCCCAAAUCUACUUACGUUGAAACAAACAAGCCCUAAUAGUCGAUCGAAUUUACAAGAGCCACCAACUAGCUAGCGUACACCAUAGUAUUAAUCAAAAUAGUCAAAAAUAUAUCUUUAAAGGCUCCGUUUGGUUCGGGGGAUAAGUGGGGAUAACGAAAGUUAUCCCCACUAUUCUGUCAAACGGGCUGAUUGUUUACCGAGAUAUUUUAUCCUGGUCAAACUUUGCUAUUCCCGAUUAUUUCGAAAUAGCAAGGGAUUUGCUAUUCCACUAUUUGGUGGAAUAGUGCUAUUCCAAUGCUUAAUUUCAUACUUAAUUAAAAUAAUAAAUUGAAUUAAAACUAAAUUAUAUAAAUAUUAUAUGUUAUAUAUUAUAAUACAUUAUUUUUAUUAUAAAAUUAUUAAUUGUACUAUAUUAAUACAUAUUAUUUAUAUUUAAAUAUUAUAAUAAAUUUUUUUUAUUAAAUUUAAGUUUAAGUAGAAUUUUUAAAAAAAUUAUAAAUUUAUUAUAAUAAAUUACUUUUAUUAAUUGUUCCGACAGCAAUUUUUAUUUUAAAAAUUUAUAAAUUAAAAUUUUAAUUUUUUAAAAUUUGUAAUUUAUAAUCUCAAAAUUAAAGUUUAUAAUUUUAAAUUAUAAAAUUUAAAUUUUUGAUAUUUUAAAUUUUUGAAAUUUAAAAUUUGAUAUUUUAUAUUUUUCAAAUUUAAAUUUGAUCUUAAAUUUAAAAUUUGAUAUUUAAAAUUUAAAAUUUAAAAUUUUGAAUUUAAAAAUUGAGAUUUUAAAUUUCAAAUUCUAAUUUCAAAUUUUGAAAUUUCAAAGUUAAAAUUUUAAAUUUAAAAAUUUAAAAAUUCAAAUUCAAAUAUAAUAAGAGGGUAAAAUCAUUAUUUUUUAUUUAUAAAAACUCAUUAUCCUUUUUAUUCCAUCUUACCUAACCAAACGCUAUUUUUUUUAUUCCCAGAAAUAAUCCAAUAUUUAUCCAAAUGCAAAAUUGAUCUAAUCCCCGCUUAUAGCUCAAUUUAUACAUAUUCCUGGAAUAGUCAUUUUUUGCUUAUCUCCGAACCAAACGAUACCAAAGAGUUUACUCUAACACGAAUGUUAACCUA